UACUUAGGGUGCGAGCGUUAAUCGGAAUUACUGGGCGUAAAGCGAGUGUAGGCGGCUGUAUAAGUCGGAUGUGAAAGCCCCGGGCUCAACCUGGGAAUUGCAUUCGAAACUGUACAGCUAGAGUUUGGUAGAGGUAAGUGGAAUUCAAGGUGUAGCGGUGAAAUGCGUAGAUAUCUUGAGGAACAUCAGUGGCGAAGGCGGCUUACUGGACCAAAACUGACGCUGAGGCUCGAAAGCGUGGGGAGCAAAC
Molecule: ribosomal RNA, 250 nt
Filed under: uncultured bacterium
Lineage: Bacteria
Description: partial 16S ribosomal RNA
Rfam family: Bacterial small subunit ribosomal RNA
Source: RNAcentral